GACGGGGGGUCCUAGCGUUGUUCGGAAUCAUUGGGCGUAAAGCGUGUGCAGGUGGUUCUGUAAGUUAGAUGUGAAAUCCCCGGGCUCAACCUGGGAACUGCAUUUGUGACUGCACGGCUCGAGUGCGGCAGAGGGGGAUGGAAUUCCGCGUGUAGCAGUGAAAUGCGUAGAUAUGCGGAGGAACACCGAUGGCGAAGGCAAUCCCCUGGGCCUGCACUGACGCUCAUGCACGAAAGCGUGGGGAGCAAACAGG
RNAcentral lists this ribosomal RNA (253 nucleotides) under uncultured bacterium. RNAcentral describes it as "partial 16S ribosomal RNA". It matches the Rfam family "Bacterial small subunit ribosomal RNA", at positions 524 to 776 of the family's 1533-position model. The record is from RNAcentral.